RNA transcript from Brassica napus (rape), 1367 nucleotides. RefSeq lists it as uncharacterized. The record is from RefSeq and is a predicted model, not a curated record. The transcript is spliced from 5 exons. Lineage: Eukaryota; Viridiplantae; Streptophyta; Magnoliopsida; Brassicales; Brassicaceae.
AAAUUGAAGCUCCCUCGCGCUGCCACGUCGGAUCCGCACCGUUUCACUAAAGUGUGAUUCGGUUAUUACGGGCUACGCAUUUGGGCUUCAUGCUAUGUUUGUACGCGGCCCGACUACCCCAAUCUCCUGGUGGAACCCUAAUCAUCCUCUACGCUCGCCUUGGUGAUCUCCGCUCUCCUUCGAUCGGCGCAGCUGCGAUCUAUCUCCUGUAACAGUUCUUCGAUAAUCAAUGGACUUAAAUCAUCUUUAAUCACCACUGCGAAGCUCCCUCCUGCGCCGCUCAUCUGCUAUAUAAAGAUCUCACCGUCAACUAUCAUACAAGCGACUGUGUACAGAGGGUUUAAUGUAUUCCAUAAGCGAUUUUGAUGUGGCUCAGAGCAAUCUAAAGUCUCUCCUCUAUCAAUUUGACUGAAUCGUGUCUCCACCGUCAAAGUGCGUCUCAUCAGAUUCUGGGAGGCUCUCCCUCUCUCUUUGUUUUUUUUAGGAUGGUUAAGAUAGACAGAUGGUUUUUUUGAACUGUCAACUCUAUGUCUUUUCCUUCCUUGGUUUGUAAUAUGCUGAUGAGAACUCCUCCUUCUAUCAUAGGCUUACUAAAAUCUUGGGUUUGAUCUAUCACGAGUCUUUCUUUCCUGGAUUGGCUUGGCUGGAUUGGUCUAUUCUAAUCUAUCUUCCUUGCCUUCCUGUCUUGCCUAGCUAUGCCUUCUUUCCUUGAUUUCAGCCAGGAUCUGCUUUUAGCCUGAUUGGUAGGUUGGGUGGUGUUGGUUGCCUCACGAUAACCAAGUGGGGUUUGUUGAUAGGUUUGUUAUGCCUGAAGAGUUUAUUAUAUCUCUACCAGAUAAAAAGAUGUGGAGAGAUGGCACGAAAGAUAUGUUUCUUCAAAGACCAAAUAUCAAAGGUUGGAGUUUCUCCUAAAGAGUUUAUAGACAAAUAUGUUUAUAUGUGCUUGGAUGAUGUUGAGGUCAAGCUUGGAGAGCUAGAAGCUGAACUUUCUGUAAUCAAGGUCAUAGUCAAAACGUUGCAGUGGCUAUCAACAGUAGCAUCCUUAGUGUCUUACAUAUGGCAACUCUUCCAAAGGUCUAUUGUUAUUGUCUCAAACAUCGUUAUAUAUAUGAAAGAUUCUGUAACUAAGGCUUUUAUGAAAGCUAUACUGGAGAGCUUUACAAGAGUACUUCAAGGUUUAGCUUUUAACAUUGUUGCUUAAAAUAAUUAAUACCAUCUUUGUAGACAAAACUAUGAGAUGCAGUGAAUAACUUCUUAUAGGUUUUACGUUUUACUUCUAUGUUUGCGCUUUUUCUUCUUCUCAUAAUUAUAUCUCCUGUAAAUUUGGGUCAGAUAAAAAUCAAUGUAAAUCUAGAAAUAUGUAUUUA